GAUGAACGCUGGCGGCGGGCCUAAUACAUGCAAGUCGAGCGAACACACAAUGAGCUCUCGCCUCUGCCGUUAGCGGCGGACGGGUGGGUAACACGUACAUCACCUACCUAUUUUACUUGGAUAACUUCGUGAAGCCGGAUCUAAUAACGGAUAAUAUAUUCAACCGGUUAAUUCAAUAGUUAAUCACGGUUUUGCUGUCUCUUAUAGAUGGAGCCGUGUCGCAUUAGCUAGUUGGUAAGGUAACGGCUUACCAAGGCGACGAUGCGUAGCCGACCUGAGAGGGUGAUCGGCCACACUGGAACUGGGACACGGUCCAGACUCCUACGGGAGGCAGCAGUAGGGAAUAUUCCGCAAUGGGCGAAAGCCUGACGCAGCAACGCCGCGUGAGUGAUGAAGGUCUUCGGGUUGUAAAGCUCUGUUGUUAGGAAAGAAAAAAUGUAGAAGAAAAUAUCGCUGUCCUGACGGUACCCAAAGAGAAAGCACCGGCUAACUUCGUG
Molecule: ribosomal RNA, 497 nt
Filed under: uncultured bacterium
Lineage: Bacteria
Description: partial 16S ribosomal RNA
Rfam family: Bacterial small subunit ribosomal RNA
Source: RNAcentral